Molecule: ribosomal RNA, 1915 nt
Filed under: Triticum aestivum (bread wheat)
Lineage: Eukaryota; Viridiplantae; Streptophyta; Magnoliopsida; Poales; Poaceae
Description: partial small subunit ribosomal RNA
Source: RNAcentral
UUUCGCUUCGGUUUUUCUUUUUCUUUUUUCUCGCUUCGGUCUGUUUGUCCGGUCUGGUUCUCGCGGCGCAGGUGGUGGCGGCCGUGGUGGUGGGAGCCGCGCGCGCGCGCCCCUAGCUAGGGACGGGGGCUUGAGCGCGGGCGCGCGGGCCAUCAACACGGGCGACGUAGACGCGACUGACCCUGGGGCAGCUAGGCCGGCUGCGCACCCCAAACCAACCCAAACCCGACCCAACCAGGGAAGGGCUCCUAGGUAAAAAUCAACCUAAGGGCCCAGGGAAGCGCCCCGAUGAUCUAAGGGCCCCCUCGCCUACCUAAACCGCAGCCAGUUGCUCCUCGAGCGGCUCUAGCUGCCCGUCUAGCGGCUGUAGAAGGCGCGUAACGUUUUACCCAAGGUCUUCGAGCUGUUCUAGUUCCUACGGUUGGCGGCCUCGUCCGUCGAGCUUCUCGAAUGACUGUUCUACGCUCUGACGUUUUCCGAAUAGUUUCUAAAACUUGCUCAACAGUUCCUACUUCGUCCUUCACAACUAGGCUUGUGAAGAUUUAAAGACUUGCUCUCUUUCGUCAGUGACUAGUUCCUUAACUUGAGAAUACAACGAGACUUCUUUGUUGUACGUUCACUUUUAUUCGCUCAACUAGAAAAACUACGAGGUUCACCACUUCUACGGAAACCACUUCUUUUACAAGACAAUCGUAGAUUAUACUGUUUGGUCGUCGAUUACGUCGUACCUCUGUUAGAUUACCUACUCUGACUAGUUCGAGAGCGUGCUAGAUUUGUCUGACAGGUUCUCUGCUAGUUACACCCAUGGCUUUGACGUCGACGAGACUUUCGUGUCUGUCUCGUUUACUCGUCCCAACAAUUGCUCGACCUAAGGUAAGUAAAGAGGUACUUUUUCCGUAGUUUUAACCACUUUCUUUAACCAUCCGUCCAACGCUGACUAGCGACGUAGUACCCGAACGAAAAAGAGUAACAGCGACCUCAGUAUCGACAUUAGUAACAAUUCUAACAUUUGGGUGUGUUGUUUCUAUAAGGACUGGAGGGGCCCGAGCGAGGUGGCCAGUCGUCUUCCGACAACAGGUAACAUCUCUUGUUCACUCAUAGGUGUGUGGUGUUCACAUUUUAUGGGACUACUCCGUGGCACACGCCAGCGAACCUUCAAGGAACUUAGUACGGCGUGUGUGCAACAUUUGAACAUUACGACGGCAUGGUAGGGUACCCUGGGCACGCGAUUUGGCUUCCAACGGUUUGGUGACAUUUUAACAUGAGGGAGGCAAGGUUUUAUUCACAGAAUUUGAAACAUGAUUGAAAUCAUAUUUCAACAUGAACUCAACUCUGUGAAUAAACCCUGUCUCCCUCAUACAACAAUAAGAGAACUGUUCGUCCGUCCAAACAAAGACCGUUCCUGGUAUACAAGGGACACUUUUGUAACUGUAGACAUAUGAAAUGUGUCUGUAGACCUUAGUACCGUCACUAUCUGUUCUGUUAUGAACUUAAAACGUUUAUUUUAGAGUCUGACACGAAAAUGACUACACAUCACCCAUCAGGUAGAGAACGCCCCGUCGAAUAGUCUGAGUUCCUAGCACCUACCAGGUGAAACUCGGAAACCAGAACGUUCCUUAAAAUACCGUGGACUCCGGCGGAAAAGGGUCAAGUUCGACGGGCUAAAAGCGUGGGAAUCGUCAGUUUUCCACAGCUCUUCGGCAGUAUUCUAGAGUGAACUAGGUACCACGAAAGUUGCGGCCAGACGUGAUCGAGAUCUACCACGUGGUAAAUGUGAUAGAGCAUGAGGGAGACAAGAAUUUAUAUUCAAAAACAUUUCUAAAGUGCCACCUGGUAAAUGCUAAAACGAGUCAUACAUUAAGUACUACCCUAGAGAUGCUUCUGAAUAUAAAUCCUUGUCUCCCCAUGAUAUUGG